Molecule: ribosomal RNA, 253 nt
Filed under: uncultured bacterium
Lineage: Bacteria
Description: partial 16S ribosomal RNA
Rfam family: Bacterial small subunit ribosomal RNA
Source: RNAcentral
UACGGAGGGAGCUAGCGUUGUUCGGAAUUACUGGGCGUAAAGGGCGCGUAGGCGGCAAUUCAAGUCAUCUGUGAAAUCUCCGGGCUUAACUCGGAAACUGCCAUUGAUACUAUCUUUCUUGAAUACCGUGGAGGUCAGCGGAAUAUGUCAUGUAGCGGUGAAAUGCUUAGAUAUGACAUAGAACACCAAUUGCGAAGGCAGCUGGCUACACGAAUAUUGACACUGAUGCACGAAAGCGUGGGGAUCAAACAGG